CCCCUGGCGGCGCCAUUCAACCACCUGCGACGCUUUCAACCGCCGCCGCUGUCGGCAGCACGCUCUCCCCGGCACCCCCGUAUCAAGAGGCUAAAGGGCAGCAAUCGAGAUGUGCAGCUGGCCGGGAGGGAGCCAGGUUGGAUGACCCGACCGUUUUGGCUCUGGCGGUGCUGAUGCUGUGAUGUUCGCGGUCUGCCCUUGCUGUCGUGCGAUGGUGAUAAGUUCACCCCGGCAACAGUGGACUGUUCUUCGUCUCCAUGGUAUAGGACCAAGUGUUGUUGCAUUGCCUCUAAUCCCCUCGUUUUCUACGACGCUUAAGGUGAACAAAGAGGGGACGACCUGGACAUUCUUCACCUCAAGGGACACUAAACACAAAAGGCUGGCCACCGCAAAAGAAGCAUAUGUGUUCAUUAAAAUGAAGAAGUCUACCGAUGACAUCUGCCUCUGUGAACUCUAGCAUGGUGGCUGGCGAUGGCCUGCCAAUGCCUAUCCGCCGAGCGGGCCAGCCUUCGUUUCCUUUGGCGUGCUCGAACAAGGUGUAGCUGGUGAGCCACCCCUCGUGCCUUGUCUUCAGAGAGAUGUGUUGUAGGACAAACCCAUCUUGCAGUAAGCUGUCCGUGGUCUGCCCUUGCUGUGGUGUGAUGGUGACAAGUUCACCUCGGCAACAGUGGACUCUUGUACGCCUCCAUGGUAUAGGACCAAGUGUUGUUGCAUCGAGGCUAAUCCCCUUGUUUUCUAAGAUGCUCAAAAGAGAACAAAAGAGGGGGGAUGACCUGGACAGUCUCCAUCUCAAGGGACAUUAAACACAAAAGGCCGACCACUGCAAAGGUCCAUUUUUUUUUACCUAAACUGCGUUGUGCUCUACCAUAGUUACCACGUUCGAUCGAAAAACGUGUU
Lolium rigidum is the source of this 897-nucleotide long non-coding RNA. RefSeq lists it as uncharacterized. The record is from RefSeq and is a predicted model, not a curated record. NCBI's taxonomy places the organism in Eukaryota, Viridiplantae, Streptophyta, Magnoliopsida, Poales, Poaceae. The transcript has 5 exons.